RNA transcript from Chiroxiphia lanceolata (lance-tailed manakin), 3356 nucleotides. It is a transcript of the gene named ankyrin repeat and sterile alpha motif domain containing 6, with no coding region annotated. Lineage: Eukaryota; Metazoa; Chordata; Aves; Passeriformes; Pipridae. The transcript is spliced from 18 exons. The record is from RefSeq and is a predicted model, not a curated record.
CUGAGUUGCGCGGGGCCCGGCGGCGCUGCCCAUGGGGGAGAGCGGGGUGCCCCCCCAGGUCCAGCUCUUCCUCCGCGCCUGCGAGCAGGGCGACUGCGAGACCGCCCGGCGCCUCUUGGGGCUGCCCGGCGGCGGCACCGCCGACCUGGCGGCCUCCUCCUCCUGCGACCCCGAGGAGGCGGCGGCGGAGCCCCGCGGAGAAGCGGCGGCCCCGCCGACCCCCGCCGUGCCCGUGGACUGCACGGACGAGGCCGGGAACACGGGGCUGCAGUUCGCCGCGGCGGGCGGGCACGAGCAGCUAGUGCGGUUCCUGCUGCGGAAGGGCGCCUCGGUACAGAGCAGGAACCACUACGGAUGGAGCCCCCUCAUGCAAGCGGCCAGGUUUGGACAUCUAAGUGUGGCCCACAUCUUGCUGGAAAAUGGUGCUGAUCUCAAUGCACAGAAUAAGUUAGGAGCCAGUGUCCUCACAAUGGCCUCCAGAGGUGGCCAUGUCAGCAUGGUGAAGUUGUUACUGGAAUCCGGAGCUUUUGUAGACAAUUACGACCAUUUCGGCACAAGUGUACUUAACAACAGCAGAGACGACCUUCCCGAUAUCACCCCAUUAAUGGCAGCUGCUCAGCAUGGACAUGAGGCAGUGGUACAUCUGUUAUUAGACUGGGGAGCUGAUUGUAAUUACACUGUGAAGACGAUGGGCUGGAGUCCUUUAAUGCUGGCAGCCGUUAGUGGAAAGGUGAGCUUGGCACAGCAGCUCAUGGAGAAAGGUGCCAAUCCCGAUCACCUGAAUGUACUACAUAAAACACCUUUUGAAAUCUCUGUUGGCUUCAAACACAAAGACAUGAAGGACUACUUGGAAUCUCUCACAACGAUCAGACCUCAGGCAGAUACAGAAAAGAAGCAACCUGAUGUCUUUCAUGCUUUGAAACUGGGAAACUUCCAGCUGGUUAAAGAGAUUGUUGAUGAAGACCCAAGUCAGGUCAAUAUUACCAAUGUUGACGGUGCAUCUCCAUUAAUGAUUGCAGCUGUAACUGGACAGCUACCCCUUGUUCAGCUCCUUGUUGAGAAAAAUGCUGACGUUGAUAAACAGGAUAAUGUUCAUGGCUGGACAGCACUGAUGCAGGCCACAUACCAUGGAAACAAAAACGUUGUAAAGUAUUUGUUAAAUCAAGGAGCGGACGUCAAUCUUCGUGCAAAAAACGGAUACACGGCUUUUGACCUCAUAAUGCUGCUGAAUGAUCCAGAUACAGAGCUUGUAAGACUACUGGCGUCAGCAUGCAUGCAAGUAGACAAAGACAAGAAUAAACUGAACAACAGAUCAUCUUUGCCUACUUCCAGAAGUAGGCAAUCCUUAAAUGUCCCAAUGUUGCCAGAUGAUAAAGGAGGUCUAAAGUCUUGGUGGAGCAGGAUGUCCAAUCGAUUCCGCAAGCUGAAACUGACUCAGACAUUGCGCCACGGAUUUCCUUCCAAUCCGUUUGUGCCUUUUCCGGAUGAGCCUGAACCGUCAUUAAAUUCCACUAUAAAAGCAGUUUCACAGAGUGAUACGGAUGCCUCUGGAAACCUUGAUGCUGCUACAGCUCGGAUCACAAAUAACAAAGCUAGUGGUGCAAACACUACAAAAGGAGGAAAGGAUGAUGAAUUAUUGACAACCAUGUUGAGAAGUAGUGCCCCAUUUACCAGGCUGCCAAGCGAUAAGCUGAAGGCAGUGAUACCACCUUUCUUACCCCCCUCGAGCUUUGAGCUCUGGAAUUCUGACCGAACACGACUCAGCAAAGAUGGAAAAGCUGAACAGAUGAGAACUGCCUGGCCACAGAGAGCAAUCAAGCAUGAUUUUAACAGCAGCGGAAACUCUGAUAUAACAUCUGUUAGCAAAGGUACUAGACCAGUCAAAUUACCAACAUUUGCAAGAAGACCAGCAUCUCCUUCAAAUUCCAACAACUUCAGUCAUUCUCCUCAUUCUUCUGGUGGAUCCAAUAACAUUGCAGGAAUUAACAGGCAUGGAGGAGAACUGCAUAACAGAUCAGGUGGCAGUGCAGAUAAUGUUUUGUCUCAGAUUGCGGCCCAAAGAAGAAAAGCAGCAGGCUUUCCUGAACAGAAACCCAGCCAACAGCACAGUCCAGUCCAGUCAACUACUUCAUCCACUCCAUCUGAGUUGCAGUGUGCUCAGGUUGUUGGCAAUGGACAUGUAAAGCAAAAGCUGGAGAUGAACAAAAGACCUCCAUCUGGGACUUCAUCUACGUCUAAAAGCACAUCACCAACUCUCACACCUUCCCCAUCACCUUCCCCAUCUCCUAAGGUUCAAAACGCAGAGUCAUCUCUGUCUUCUUCUCACAGACAGGCCAAAAGUAACGGUUCCAGCAGUGGUACUAUUACAGAAGAUGGCAACCACUCGGUGGACCAUCAACAGCUUGUCUCUAUUCUGAGAACCAGUGAUGUAGAGAAUCAUGAAAGACGAAACCAUGUGAGAGUAAAAGGAGGCUCUGAAAACUUGGAGAAAGAUGAGCUGACUGGCAUCCUUAAAAAAUUGUCUCUUGAGAAAUAUCAGCCUAUUUUUGAGGAACAAGAGGUGGAUAUGGAAGCUUUCCUUACACUUACUGACGGUGAUCUGAAAGAGCUUGGUAUUAAAACAGAUGGAUCAAGGCAGCAAAUUCUGGCAGCUAUUUCUGAACUGAAUGCAGGAAAGGGUCGAGAGAGACAGAUUUUACAAGAAACUAUACACAACUUCCACUCUUCCUUUGAGAGCAGUGUUAGUAACACACGACCACCAGGUCAUUCCCAAUCUUACUUCCCAUUCUCAGAGUAGUCAGCAUGUGUGGGAGCUUCUGGAUGUCUCUUGAUAUCAUCCUAGACUUGAAGAGCCUCUUCUGUAGGUACCAUUGGGUGAGCAAAAGCUGCCAUUUGGGAUGGUGUAAUGAACUGGAAUUACUCGAGAACCGAAGAAGGAUAGAGAUGUAACAAGUCUCCAAGCAACUUGCUGAGCCUAACCACUGAGCUUGAAUGUGUCUUGAAGACAGCAAAGGACAGUAAUGGUGGCACAGAGUUGGGGACAACAUCCUUUUGUAAGAAUGGAAGCAACAGUUGCUACUGCUAACCAUUUGACAGGAUGCUGCAAGGAGGCUGCCGUGAGAGAUGUAGCUUUUGGGGUUUUGUGUAUGAGAGCUCCAUGAUACAGAUUUGGCUGUGAAAUAGCAACAGAAGCACUAACAGAGAAGGCAGAGAGCAUGUAGAUAAAAGAAGUUUCUGCACCAGCACCCGGCUGCUCUUUAAAACCACAAGAAGCUGUUUCUCCUAAAAGGUAGCAACAAAAGAUUUUUUUCUUAUCUUGAAGUUUGGCAUCUAACUAAGUAAAUCCAAGCGUACAA